RNAcentral lists this ribosomal RNA (500 nucleotides) under uncultured bacterium. RNAcentral describes it as "partial 16S ribosomal RNA". It matches the Rfam family "Bacterial small subunit ribosomal RNA", at positions 30 to 523 of the family's 1533-position model. The record is from RNAcentral.
AUUGAACGCUGGCGGAAUGCUUUACACAUGCAAGUCGAACGGCAGCACGGACUUCGGUCUGGUGGCGAGUGGCGAACGGGUGAGUAAUGUAUCGGAACGUGCCCAGUCGUGGGGGAUAACGUAGUGAAAAUUACGCUAAUACCGCAUACGAUCUAUGGAUGAAAGCGGGGGAUCGCAAGACCUCGCGCGAUUGGAGCGGCCGAUAUCAGAUUAGGGAGUUGGUGGGGUAAAGGCCCACCAAGCCAACGAUCUGUAGCUGGUCUGAGAGGACGACCAGCCACACUGGAACUGAGACACGGUCCAGACUCCUACGGGAGGCAGCAGUGGGGAAAUUUGGACAAUGGGCGAAAGCCUGAUCCAGCCAUUCCGCGUGCAGGAUGAAGGCCCACGGGUUGUAAACUGCUUUUGUACAGAACGAAAAGGUUUCUACUAAUACUAGGAGCUCAUGACGGUACUGUAAGAAUAAGCACCGGCUAACUACGUGCCAGCCGCCGCCGUAA